AACGAACGCUGGCGGCAGGCUUAACACAUGCAAGUCGAACGCCCCGCAAGGGGAGUGGCAGACGGGUGAGUAACGCGUGGGAAUCUACCCAACUCUACGGAAUAACUCAGGGAAACUUGUGCUAAUACCGUAUACGCCCUUCGGGGGAAAGAUUUAUCGGAAUUGGAUGAGCCCGCGUUGGAUUAGCUAGUUGGUGGGGUAAAGGCCUACCAAGGCGACGAUCCAUAGCUGGUCUGAGAGGAUGAUCAGCCACAUUGGGACUGAGACACGGCCCAAACUCCUACGGGAGGCAGCAGUGGGGAAUAUUGGACAAUGGGCGCAAGCUUGAUCCAGCCAUGCCGCGUGAGUGAUGAAGGCCCUAGGGUUGUAAAGCUCUUUCACCGGUGAAGAUAAUGACGGUAACCGGAGAAGAAGCCCCGGCUAACUUCGUGCCAGCCGCCGCUGUAA
This 447-nucleotide ribosomal RNA is filed under the name uncultured bacterium. Its description in RNAcentral is "partial 16S ribosomal RNA". It matches the Rfam family "Bacterial small subunit ribosomal RNA", at positions 29 to 523 of the family's 1533-position model. The record is from RNAcentral.